RNAcentral lists this long non-coding RNA (230 nucleotides) under Elaeis guineensis (African oil palm). RNAcentral describes it as "long non-coding RNA (EGUI_LNC061747)". The record is from RNAcentral. Lineage: Eukaryota; Viridiplantae; Streptophyta; Magnoliopsida; Arecales; Arecaceae.
CUAUUAGAAAAUUGGGUAGAAUGCAUGCAUAGAUUUCAAAAAUCUUUUCAAGAGCAGCAAAAAAUGAAUUAGGUUAAACCCUUUAACCCCAUAUGUAUUAGAUCUCAUCUAAUCCUACCAAAGUCCAAAAAUAAAGAUAUGCAUAUAAUCUAAAAAUUAAAAUAUGGAUGAGAUCAAAUCUCAAUACUUUUACGUGGAUAGAAAUUUAUAGCUAUCGAUGAUCUCAGAUU